AAUCAUUUUUCCAAUAUCCUUUUCUUUUGGACUUGUAUUUUAGAAAACUUGGUUCAAGUAUGGAUGGUUGUGAUGAGGAAGGAAGGAAAAUCAGACAUGCGCCCCAGGAAGAGCCUAAAAGGUUUGUUCGACAAAAUCACAGUGAAAUAGAGAAAAGACGAAGGGAUAAAAUGAAUACAUAUAUCUCUGAGCUCUCAUCUAUGAUUCCAACCUGUGCUGCGAUGCAGAGAAAAAUGGAUAAACUGACAGUCCUCAGACUAGCGGUUCAGCACCUAAAGAGUAUCCGUGGUUCCCUGGAUUCCUACACUGAAGCUUGUCAUAAACCUCCUCUACUCACUGACAGUGAACUCAACAAAUUGAUAAUUCCGAGCGCUGAUGGAUUCGUCUUCGUUGUUGACUCAGUGCGGACCCGUAUUCUGUAUGUAUCUGAGUCUGUGAGUAGUAUUCUGAACUUCACUAGCCAGGAGCUCACGGGACAGAGUCUUUUCGAUAUUCUUCAUCCUAGGGACAUUGACAAGGUUAAGGAGCAGAUGAGUAAUUAUGAAGCUACACCUAGAGAGAGAUUAAUUGAUAGCAAGACAAUGCUACCCUUAGUAGGAGGAGAUGUUUCACAGUCAAACAGUAGACUUCACCCUGGAGCUCGGCGUGUGUUCUUCUGUCGGAUGAAAUGUAAACCUGUUUCUACUCUAAAUCUCAAGGAGGAGGAGGAGGAGGAUAUGACUCCGAAUCCAAUGCUUGGCUCCGGUUAUGGAGAAUCUUCAAUAUCCAACAAUAAUGGUGAGAAGAAGAAAAAGUUUCUGAACUCAGAUAAAAAGUAUUUAUCGAUCCAAUGUACUGGAUAUCUUAAAUCCUGGAAUACUAACAAGGUUGGUCUAGAGAACGAUUUAAUUGAUCUCGAAACUGAUCAGGACACAAGUAUGAGCUGUCUUGUUGCUGUUGGAAGAUGUCAGCCUAGUUUCCAAUCAACUAUUGAAGAUUGUAUGGACCAAGGAAAGACGACAUCUAGCUCGGUUCAAUUUUUUAGUAGACAUGGUGUUGAUGGCAAGUUUACUUUUGUUGAUCAAAGAGUGACUUUAAUGUUGGGUUACCUACCACAGGAACUAGUAGGAACGAGUUUGUACGAACAUGUACAGUACGACGAUAUACCGGUUAUAGCAGACUGCCAUCGCAGUACAUUAAGAAGCCCUGAAGAAGUGAUAACUCCGUUCUUCAGAUUCAGAACUAAGGAAGGAAAAUUUGUAAAGCUGGAGUCACGCUGGAAGCAGUUCCGAAAUCCCUGGAAUCAAGAACUAGAAUAUAUUAUCUGUAGAAACUAUCUUAUCUUCACCCAAGAGAAACUAGCAGAUGGAGGAAGCUUCGGCGACUCUGGGGACAUGGACUUCUUCACCGCUGACAGAUCCAACGCGGCGGCUUGUGGACGGGUGGUUGGGAAGGAUAUUCAGAGGGUGAUCACUUCCCACGCCGAGGCAGCUAAAAUUGGACGUAAUAUUGCCGAGGAGAUCAUGGAUAAAUGGCGGUCGGAUAGUUCAGCCAGUAAUAGUCCCUUGUCCAACUUUCAGGAGCUGAGUUCGAAUUCUUUACUGCCAACUACUAGUAACUCCGGGCAUCAGGAUCAUCCUUCUAGUCAGGCUGAUCCCCGAACUGAAGAUAAGGAGCCAAAUCAUCCUUGGGAUCUGGAACAGGAACAGGAACAACAAAGGAACAAAGAUUAUCAUAGAGAAGAACGUCAACGAGAGCAGAGUCAGCAAAGGGAACAAAAUCACUUGAGGGAACAGGAACAACUUAGAGAUAGAAAACAGCAGAGAGAUCAGGAACAAGAUCAACAAAGAGAAUUGAAGCUUAAAGCAGAGGAAGAUAUUCAAAGGGUAAAGGAAGAUCUGAGGAAAAAGGAGCUCAAGCUCGACCAGGAGAAAAAAGAUGAACAAGAGAAGGAGUACAUGAAGGAGCAUGUGGAACUGAAUAACGACGAUUCAAGUAAGGGCGCUGGAGUUAUUGUUUCCAGGACUGGUAGUUCAAGUUUAAGCUCAUGGCCUGCUGGAGCUACUAGACAAUUUGAUGAUCAGAUAAAAAGUGAAUCUGCUCGAGGUGUUAAGAGUUCUCCCCCCGCCUCCUCCCACUCAAGUGAGGGGGGGAAUGAUGAGGCGGCCACUGCUGUUCUAAUGAGUUUACUUGAGGCUGAAGCUGGUUUGGGCGGGCCUUUUGAUUUCGGAAAUCUUCCCUGGCCUUUACCCUAGAAUGGUUAAAUAUUGUGAAGAAGAAAAAAACCAGAUUGAAAUCAACUCUUACGACCUCAACAACAGCUUUAGGAAUAUUUAAACAAUUAUUAAACAUGUUUACUCACGAUAUUUCAGGAGGGAAGGAAGCCCAACCAUUUCGCUCGAGCUACCUCGAAAUCCUCAAUAUUUAUGCCAUAACGUGGCCAGAUUUAAAUAAAAUAGUUUUAUCAUCUCGACACAUUUAAAAAACAUGAUGGAAGAACGAAGAUUUGGAGGAUGGCUCAGACGAGAAAAUGAGGAGAUUUUGGAUCGGACUAGAAGUUGUUGUGGCUGGCCUUCCUCCCUUCAUUGCAGUCAAUGUACAAUAUGUACUGUCCAUUAUACUCAACGUGGCUCAACUUUUGUUUUAAUAUUAUAAUUAGUAGUAUAUAACCUUAGUCAGUUACGACAUAUAGUGCUGACUCUAGUUUUAAUAUUAUAAUUAGUAGUAUAUAACCUUAGUCGGUUACGACAUAUAGUGCUGACUCUAGUUUUAAUAUUAUAAUUUCUCCAAACAGAAAUGGAGUUCUUGAAAAAAACAUGUAUUUUAUAUAUUUCGAUCUGUAAACCUAUAAAAUCAUGAAAUAUGUGUGAUAUGUAAACGAAACAAGCUUUAUGACACCUGAUACUCAACUUAUCUGACCUAGUCAAUAUGGCCUUUUACAGAAUUAAGUUUUUUAUUUAAUUGAAAGAAGUAUGGGCAUUGUGUUCACUGUACCUCUUAAAUUGACUGUCCAAGUUAUUUCAAGUUUUCCUUAAUCCUUUUCCUAUCUGUAAACUUUGAAUUGCUGCGGAGAUAAAGAAAGUACUGGAUCAGUGUCUAUAGGGAUCGGGCACCUCCUUAAACGGUGGAGGGGGGCGGGGAUUUAAGUUAAUAGUAUUCAGUAUAUUUAAUUAACGUUGUGUCCGACUUUUUGGUUCCAUUAAAUUUUAUUUUAUCCUCUCCUGAUUAUUAUCUAUAUUAUGACUAGCUUUGUGAAAUAAAGAUUGCUGUUCUAUGUUCCUUAAUCAAAAGUGUUAUGUCCUGCGUGGCUGAUUUAUUUAAAAGAUUUGGCUCAUCAGUAGUUGUUAAAUUCUAAAUUUGUUAUACGUUGUUAGAUUUUGUAUGCCAUUAAAGUUUAAAUAAAAUUUUGUAUCGUUAAA
RNAcentral lists this unclassified non-coding RNA (3398 nucleotides) under Eurytemora carolleeae. RNAcentral describes it as "protein cycle". The record is from RNAcentral. Lineage: Eukaryota; Metazoa; Arthropoda; Copepoda; Calanoida; Temoridae.